Molecule: transfer RNA, 72 nt
Filed under: Apaloderma vittatum (bar-tailed trogon)
Lineage: Eukaryota; Metazoa; Chordata; Aves; Trogoniformes; Trogonidae
Rfam family: tRNA
About the family: Transfer RNA (tRNA) molecules are approximately 80 nucleotides in length. Their secondary structure includes four short double-helical elements and three loops (D, anti-codon, and T loops).
Source: Rfam by way of RNAcentral
GGCCGGUUAGCUCAGUCAGUAGAGCAUAAUGCUAACAACGCUAAGGUCACGGGUUUGCUUCCCGUUCGGUCC